Protopterus annectens (West African lungfish) is the source of this 930-nucleotide long non-coding RNA. RefSeq lists it as uncharacterized. Lineage: Eukaryota; Metazoa; Chordata; Ceratodontiformes; Protopteridae. The record is from RefSeq and is a predicted model, not a curated record. The transcript is spliced from 3 exons.
CAAUAAUAAAGGGAACUGUCACUGUGAUGAUGGAUGGGCCCCACCCAGCUGUUUGACAGUCGGGACAGGAGGAAGCAUCGAUAGUGGUUCACCUGAGUCUGAAAGCACCAGUAAUAUCAACCUGCUAGCUAUACUGCUCCCUAUACUACUUGGCAUUCCAUUUAUAAUUUUCGCAGUUGUACUUCUUGUAAAAUGUAGAUCAGUCAUCCAUAGACAAUACACAGAGCAGCAUAGCGCAAAUACUCUUUGAUCGACUUGGAGACUAUGCACCUGACUUGAACAACUUACAUAUGGUUACUUGCAAAAGCUGCAGUUAUAUGAACUUUUAUUUGCUGCACAGUGGACAUCUUCUCAAUGACUAGCACCACAAGACCCAGUUAACUGUAUUAAUAAGCAAGAUUUCAUGUCAAUUUUGAUGAAUUGCUUAAUAUGUCAAAGGUUUGUGAUUGUUUAUCAAAUUUGGUUAACUGUAAUAAAUUAAAUAUUUUUGGCACAAGUGUCUGACUAAUGAAAAAGUGUCCAGCUUUGUGGACAGACAUAAUUUUAUUGUAACAGUGGAGUCUUUAUGUUAUCUUAGAUUUUGUGCAGUGUUCAUUAUGAUUCCAACUGUUACAUCUGUUCAUAUUGUAGUGUUUGUUACAGCUCAUAUUAUUUUUAGACUAAGAAUUUGUUAACUGUUAAUAAAGUUGUCAAAAAAAAAGAAAGAAAAAAAUGCAUUCAGUAUAUUAAUUGAAUUAUUACCAGUGUAUUCAUGCUGUUUGGUACCUCAGAUAUGUAGUUUUCAUUAUGAUUCCUGUUUCUACAUUGUUGUUUCAGUUUUUUUGUGUCUAAUAUCCUGUGUAAGUGAAUCUAGACUGAUAAUUUAUUUAGUUCACAUUUACUGUUCUUUAAUUGAUAAUAAAGUUGUUGCAAAAAAAAAAAAGUAUUCAG